This 531-nucleotide long non-coding RNA is filed under the name Homo sapiens (human). RNAcentral describes it as "non-protein coding lnc-LMTK2-4:1". Lineage: Eukaryota; Metazoa; Chordata; Mammalia; Primates; Hominidae. The record is from RNAcentral.
GCGGGUGACAGAUGGCUACAAACCAGUCAUAGGCCAUCACACUCAGGAGCAUGUCUCUCUUCCAUGCCUCCAAAAAUGGCAAAGAGAGACAUCUGAGUCAGGCAGCCUGCAUAGGAGAUGACUCUGCUGUGAGACUGGAUGUCCACAAUCAUCUUGGGGACCGUGGUGGAGGUGAAACCGAUGUCAGGCAAGGACAGGUUGGAGAGGAAGAAGUACAUGGGGGUGUGGAGGUGGGAGUCAGGGCUGAUGGCCAGGAUGAUGAGCAGGUUCCCCAGCACCGUGACCAGGCACAUGGACAGGAACAGCCCAGCAAGGACUGGCUGCAGUUCUGGAUCCCCUGAGACUUCUAGGAGGAGGAAUAUAGAGACAUCUGUUAGAUUCUGUGGGUCUGCAUAAUUUGGACACCUUUGCCUAGAAACGAGGGUUGAAAAAUGGGAAACAAGUAAACCAACACCUGGCAUUGUGUCUGCAUUUUGAAUAGAAGCAAUUCACAAGUAAUGUUUUCAGAUUUCAGAGCAAUCCACACUCAGC